GUCCUGUAAUAUUAUGUUGUCAUUUCAAUGUUAUAUUUAACUUUGCCAUUAAAGUGCGAGGUUUGGCAUGCCAUAAAACCAGGUUCAACCCACCACUUUUAUUCCCCUUUAAAAGUGUCCUGUACCAAGUCAGGAAGAUGGUCAUUGUUAUAUUAUUGUUCGUUUCUCUGUGUGUUGCAUUUUAACGUUGAGAAAUUUGUGUUUUCUCUUAUUUUUGAGAUA
Molecule: long non-coding RNA, 222 nt
Filed under: Mytilus galloprovincialis (Mediterranean mussel)
Lineage: Eukaryota; Metazoa; Mollusca; Bivalvia; Mytilida; Mytilidae
Source: RNAcentral